UUAAGGCCGUUAGGUGUAGGCGCAGCGAAAGCGAGUCUUAAUAGGGCGCAUGAGUUCGUGGGAUCAGACCCGAACCGAGUGAUCUAGCCAUGUCCAGGAUGAAGGCAGGGUAACACCUGCUGGAGGUCCGAACCGACACCCGUUGAAAAGGUCCGGAUGAGGUGUGGCUAGGGGUGAAAAGGCUAAUCAAACUCGGAAAUAGCUGGUUCUCCGCGAAAUCUAUUUAGGUAGAGCGUCAGACGAAUACCUUCGGGGGUAGAGCACUGGAUGGGUGAUGGGGUCCCACAGACUUACUGAGCCUAACCAAACUCCGAAUACCGAAGAGUACUAUCUGGCAGACACACAUCGGGUGCUAACGUCCGGUGUGAAGAGGGAAACAACCCUGACCUACAGCUAAGGCCCCCAAUUCACGGCUAAGUGGAAAAGCAGGUGGGACGACCAAAACAACCAGGAUGUUGGCUUAGAAGCAGCCAUCAUUUAAAGAUAGCGUAACAGCUCACUGGUCUAGACAAGUUGUCCUGCGGCGAAAAUGUAACGGGGCUC
Molecule: ribosomal RNA, 543 nt
Filed under: uncultured bacterium
Lineage: Bacteria
Description: bacterial LSU rRNA
Rfam family: Bacterial large subunit ribosomal RNA
Source: RNAcentral